Molecule: long non-coding RNA, 1112 nt
Organism: Passer montanus (Eurasian tree sparrow)
Lineage: Eukaryota; Metazoa; Chordata; Aves; Passeriformes; Passeridae
Exons: 3
Source: RefSeq, a predicted model, not a curated record
CGUCUCCAAGUUGGUUUGUGUUACAGCAGCAGUGACUCACUGAUGCUCAGUCCACUGGAAAGCACUAAGCAGACAGGCUCUGCUGCUAAAUUCAGCGGCUAUUCCCCGAGUGCCUUCCCUGAGUCAGAGCAGUCCUUAAAAAAGUUAAUGUGAAUGAACAGAAGAUGCUAGAGGAGCAUGUUUACCUGCUCCCAAGGUGAUAAAAGCAGAUUGAGUUGAAAUCCUAGGGCAUUGAUGACAUGCCAGACUUCCCACUGGGUCAACAGAGCUGUCCUUCCCUUCUGGCCCCUCAAUUAUCCUUCCUCCCCCUUCUUCUCUCCCCAAAGCCUGCAUGCAUCUUAAAGGUAUUCCUUUCAUAACCAGUCGAGGACAAUGGAAGUCAAAGAACUAGAGCAUGGCAUUUUGCAAUUCUAGGGAUAAUAUUUCAUCUCAUGACACAUUUCAUGGGCUUCUAUUCUAUGUAAAAAGAUGGCAUCAUAUCCAAAUAUAAUGUAACAUUAGGUAAAAAUAUUUGCAUAUAAUGAAAGUAAAAUAAAUUCAAUUUUAAGGUUAUAAUCAGAAAGAGUUUUCAUUAAGAAUUUAUUGCUAUUUUUUUUUCCCACAGUAGAAAUCCAGAUUGUGUAAUUUUACCCUCAGUUAUUAUUUUCUGUAUCUUCUUUUUCUGUAUAUUUUCCCUGUACGCUGUAUAUUACAAGCUCAAAUCUUCAUUUUCAAAAUGCAUCUUAUUUUUAGGCUUUCAUUUUCUAAAGCCAGUGCCUGCUACAGCCAGUCUUUUAAUCUGCUAAGAAUAUAGUAAAGAGGUGAUUACAGAGGAUGAAAAUGAGGAAAAAAUUAAUAUUAUGAGGUACAAACUGUGGUGUAGCAUAACUAUAACCAUGUAUGUGGGAGAAUGGAGCAUAGGUGCUACUACAAGGUGCUUUAGCUUUUUAAUUUUGUGGUUUUAACCUUUUAAUGAAGCACAUUUUUCUUUUAACUGUUGUUAUGCAAUUCUAAUAUUUUAUAAAAGAGCUUCCUGUAUUUGCAAUGGAUUCACUUAAGAUACAUAUUUGCAUAAGUAAUUAUUGCUGUAUUGUAGGCAAAGUUUAUGGCUGCAGCCUGUGUUCCUGAUUUUG